This 443-nucleotide ribosomal RNA is filed under the name uncultured soil bacterium. RNAcentral's name for it is "bacterial SSU rRNA". It matches the Rfam family "Bacterial small subunit ribosomal RNA", at positions 26 to 522 of the family's 1533-position model. The record is from RNAcentral.
AGAACGAACGCUGGCGGCAUGCCUAACACAUGCAAGUCGAACGAGACCUUCGGGUCUAGUGGCGCACGGGUGCGUAACGCGUGGGAACCUGCCCUAAGGUUCGGAAUAACUUCCCGAAAGGGAUGCUAAUACCGGAUGAUGUCUUCGGACCAAAGAUUUAUCGCCUUGGGAUGGGCCCGCGUUGGAUUAGCUAGUUGGUGGGGUAAAGCCUACCAAGGCGACGAUCCAUAGCUGGUCUGAGAGGAUGAUCAGCCACACUGGGACUGAGACACGGCCCAGACUCCUACGGGAGGCAGCAGUGGGGAAUAUUGGACAAUGGGCGAAAGCCUGAUCCAGCAAUGCCGCUGAGUGAUGAAGCCUUAGGGUGUAAAGCUCUUUACGUGGGAUGAUAAUGACAGUACCAGAGAAUAAGCUCCGGCUAACUCCGCGACCAGCAAGCCGAC